RNAcentral lists this ribosomal RNA (479 nucleotides) under uncultured bacterium. RNAcentral describes it as "partial 16S ribosomal RNA". It matches the Rfam family "Bacterial small subunit ribosomal RNA", at positions 28 to 507 of the family's 1533-position model. The record is from RNAcentral.
GAUGAACGCUAGCGGGAGGCCUAACACAUGCAAGCCGAGCGGUAUUUGUUCUUCGGAACAGAGAGAGCGGCGCACGGGUGCGGAACACGUGUGCAACCUGCCUUUAUCUGGGGGAUAGCCUUUCGAAAGGAAGAUUAAUACCCCAUAAUAUAUUGAGUGGCAUCAUUUGAUAUUGAAAACUCCUGUGGCUAGAGAUGGGCACGCGCAAGAUUAGAUAGUUGGUGAGGUAACGGCUCACCAAGUCAAUGAUCUUUAGGGGGCCUGAGAGGGUGAUCCCCCACACUGGUACUGAGACACGGACCAGACUCCUACGGGAGGCAGCAGUGAGGAAUAUUGGACAAUGGGUUAGCGCCUGAUCCAGCCAUCCCGCGUGAAGGACGACGGCCCUAUGGGUUGUAAACUUCUUUUGUAUAGGGAUAAACCUACUCUCGUGAGAGUAGCUGAAGGUACUAUACGAAUAAGCACCGGCUAACUCCGUG